RNAcentral lists this ribosomal RNA (402 nucleotides) under uncultured prokaryote. Its description in RNAcentral is "bacterial SSU rRNA". It matches the Rfam family "Bacterial small subunit ribosomal RNA", at positions 355 to 774 of the family's 1533-position model. The record is from RNAcentral.
UGGGGAAUCUUGGACAAUGGGGGCAACCCUGAUCCAGCGACGCCGCGUGGGUGAUGAAGGCCUUCGGGUUGUAAAGCCCUUUUGCCGGGGACGAUGAUGACGGUACCCGGCGAAUAAGCACCGGCUAACUCCGUGCCAGCAGCCGCGGUAAGACGGAGGGUGCUAGCGUUGUUCGGAAUUACUGGGCGUAAAGGGCGCGUAGGCGGCCGGGUCAGUAGGAUGUGAAAGCCCGGGGCUCAACCCCGGAACGGCAUCCGAGACGGCGAGGCUGGAGACCGGGAGAGGAGAGUGGAAUAGCCAGUGUAGAGGUGAAAUUCGUAGAUAUUGGCUGGAACACCGGUGGCGAAAGCGGCUCUCUGGCCCGGUUCUGACGCUGAGGCGCGAAAGCGUGGGGAGCAAACA